GCCCGGAUGGCGAAAUUGGUAGACGCAAGGGAUUUAAAAUCCCUCGAUGGUAACAUCGUGCCGGUUCGAUUCCGGCUCCGGGCACCA
This 87-nucleotide transfer RNA is filed under the name Gammaproteobacteria bacterium. Its description in RNAcentral is "tRNA-Leu". It matches the Rfam family "tRNA". Rfam says of the family: Transfer RNA (tRNA) molecules are approximately 80 nucleotides in length. The record is from RNAcentral. Lineage: Bacteria; Pseudomonadati; Pseudomonadota; Gammaproteobacteria.